This 305-nucleotide ribosomal RNA is filed under the name uncultured bacterium. RNAcentral's name for it is "bacterial SSU rRNA". It matches the Rfam family "Bacterial small subunit ribosomal RNA", at positions 28 to 334 of the family's 1533-position model. The record is from RNAcentral.
GACGAACGCUGGCGGCGCGCCUAACACAUGCAAGUCGAACGGGAGAUUUCCUUCGGGAAAGAUCUAGUGGCGGACGGGUGAGUAACACGUGAGCAAUCUGCCUUUGGGAGGGGGAUAACGUCUGGAAACGGACGCUAAUACCGCAUAAUGUAUGGUUUUCGCAUGGGAAGCAUACCAAAGAUUUAUCGCCCAAAGAUGAGCUCGCGGCUGAUUAGCUAGUUGGCGGGGUAAAGGCCCACCAAGGCGACGAUCAGUAGCCGGACUGAGAGGUUGAACGGCCACAUUGGGACUGAGACACGGCCCAG